RNAcentral lists this ribosomal RNA (253 nucleotides) under uncultured bacterium. RNAcentral's name for it is "partial 16S ribosomal RNA". It matches the Rfam family "Bacterial small subunit ribosomal RNA", at positions 524 to 776 of the family's 1533-position model. The record is from RNAcentral.
UACGGAGGUUGCAAGCGUUGUUCGGAAUUACUGGGCGUAAAGCGGGUGUAGGCGGCCUCGCAAGUCAGGUGUGAAAUCCCUGGGCCCAACCCAGGAACUGCACUUGAUACUGCUUGGCUCGAGUCCCGGAGAGGAUGGCGGAAUUCCAGGUGUAGAGGUGAAAUUCGUAGAUAUCUGGAGGAACACCAGCGGCGAAGGCGGCCAUCUGGACGGUGACUGACGCUCAGACCCGAAAGCGUGGGGAGCAAACAGG